This is a non-coding RNA of Phrynosoma platyrhinos (Desert horned lizard), 74 nucleotides long. The record is from the annotation of a GenBank genome assembly. NCBI's taxonomy places the organism in Eukaryota, Metazoa, Chordata, Lepidosauria, Squamata, Phrynosomatidae.
AAGCCUGUGGCAUAGUGGUUUGGGCAUUGGUCUAUGACGCUGGAGAUCAGGGUUCGAUUUCCAGCUUGGACUUG